Molecule: ribosomal RNA, 420 nt
Filed under: Triticum aestivum (bread wheat)
Lineage: Eukaryota; Viridiplantae; Streptophyta; Magnoliopsida; Poales; Poaceae
Description: partial small subunit ribosomal RNA
Source: RNAcentral
GCCGUAAGUUUGGUAGGAAGGUACCAAAGUAAUCCCAGCAUGGAACACUGGACAACGGUCAAGAACAUCCUGAAGUACCUGAAAAGGACUAAGGAUAUGUUUCUCGUUUAUGGAGGUGACGAAGAGCUCGUCGUAAAGGGUUACGUCGAUGCUAGCUUCGACACAGAUCUGGAUGACUCUAAGUCACAAACCGGAUACGUGUAUAUUUUGAAUGGUGGGGAAGUCAGCUGGUGCAGUUGCAAGCAAAGCGUCGUGGCGGGAUCUACAUGUGAAGCGAAGUACAUGGCAGCCUCAGAGGCAGCACAUGAAGCACUCUGGAUGAAGGAGUUCAUUGCCGACCUAGGAGUUAUUCCCAAUGCAUCGGGGCCGAUGACUCUCUUCUGUGACAACACUGGAGCUAUUGCCCUUGCCAGGGAGCCC